AUUGAACGCUGGCGGCAGGCCUAACACAUGCAAGUCGCACGAGUGGCGGACGGGUGAGUAAUGUCUGGGAAACUGCCCGCUGGAGGGGGAUAACUACUGGAAACGGUAGCUCAUACCGCAUCCCAUCGGAUGUGCCCAGAGGGGAUUAGCUAGUAGGUUGGGUAACGGCUCACCUAGGCGACGAUCCCUAGAUGAUCUGAGAGGAUGACCAGCCACACUGGAACGUAGACACGGUCCAGACUCCUACGGUAGGCAGCAGUGGGGAAUAUGGCACAAUGGGCGCAAGCCUGAUGCAGCCAUGCCGCGUGUAUGAAGAAGGCCUUCGGGUUGUAAAGUACUUUCAGCGAGGAGGCGUUACUCGCAGAAGAAGCACCGGCGAACUCCGUGCCAGCAGCCGCGGUAAUAC
RNAcentral lists this ribosomal RNA (406 nucleotides) under uncultured bacterium. RNAcentral describes it as "partial 16S ribosomal RNA". It matches the Rfam family "Bacterial small subunit ribosomal RNA", at positions 30 to 526 of the family's 1533-position model. The record is from RNAcentral.